This is an RNA transcript of Zea mays, 106 nucleotides long. RefSeq lists it as uncharacterized. The transcript has 2 exons. The record is from RefSeq and is marked validated. NCBI's taxonomy places the organism in Eukaryota, Viridiplantae, Streptophyta, Magnoliopsida, Poales, Poaceae.
GCAUAUCAUUUCCAAUGCUCCAGUACCAGCAGUUAUAACUGAAGCACACCAGAUUUUACUCGUGAUGGUUGAUAGCUUAGCUAAAUUAAGUAUGGAUGUUGGGGAU